Molecule: ribosomal RNA, 303 nt
Filed under: uncultured bacterium
Lineage: Bacteria
Description: partial 16S ribosomal RNA
Rfam family: Bacterial small subunit ribosomal RNA
Source: RNAcentral
AGCAGCAGCCGCGGGAAUACGAAGGGUGCAAGCGUUAAUCGGAAUUACUGGGCGUAAAGCGUGCGUAGGCGGUUUGUUAAGUCUGUUGUGAAAUCCCCGGGCUCAACCUGGGAAUGGCAAUGGAUACUGGCAAGCUAGAGUGUGUCAGAGGAUGGUGGAAUUCCCGGUGUAGCGGUGAAAUGCGUAGAGAUCGGGAGGAACAUCAGUGGCGAAGGCGGCCAUCUGGGACAACACUGACGCUGAGGCACGAAAGCGUGGGGAGCAAACAGGAUUAGAUACCCGAGUAGUCCCUGUCUCUUAUAC